Molecule: ribosomal RNA, 444 nt
Filed under: uncultured Bacillota bacterium
Lineage: Bacteria; Bacillati; Bacillota
Description: bacterial SSU rRNA
Rfam family: Bacterial small subunit ribosomal RNA
Source: RNAcentral
GGGCCCGCACAAGCAGCGGAGCAUGUUGUUUAAUUCGAUGCAACGCGAAGAACCUUACCAGGGCUUGACAUCCAAUGAAUCCGGUUGAAAGAUCGGAGUGCCCUUCGGGGAACAUUGAGACAGGUGGUGCAUGGUUGUCGUCAGCUCGUGUCGUGAGAUGUUGGGUUAAGUCCCGCAACGAGCGCAACCCUUAUGGUCAGUUGCCAGCACGUAAAGGUGGGAACUCUGACAAGACUGCCGUGGAUAACACGGAGGAAGGUGGGGACGACGUCAAAUCAUCAUGCUCCUUAUGUCCUGGGCUACAAACGUGCUACAAUGGCCGUAACAAAGGGAAGCGAACCCGCGAGGGGGAGCGGAACCGAAAAAGCGGUCUCAGUUCGGAUUGUGGGCUGCAACCCGCCCACAUGAAGUUGGAGUUGCUAGUAAUCGCGAAUCAGCAUGUCG